CGAUGGCAUCGUUGGGAUAUCAAAGGAGGAAUCCGUUGAAGGAUGGGCUCGCGGCCGAUUAGAUAGUUGGUGAGGUAACGGCCCACCAAGUCGACGAUCGGUAGCCGGACUGAGAGGUUGAACGGCCACAUUGGGACUGAGACACGGCCCAGACUCCUACGGGAGGCAGCAGUGGGGAAUAUUAGGCAAUGGGCGAAAGCCUGACCUAGCGACGCCGCGUGAGGGAAGACGGUCUUCGGAUUGUAAACCUCUGUCUUUGGGGACGAGAAGAUGACGGUACCCAAAGAGGAAGCCACGGCUAGCUACGUGCCAGCAGCCGCGGUAAUACGUAGGUGGCGAGCGUUGUCCGGAAUUACUGGGUGUAAAGGGAGCGUAGGCGGGAACGCAAGUUGAAUGUGAAAACUAUGGGCUCAACCGAUAGUUGCGUUCAAAACUGCGAAUCUUGAGUGAAGUAGAGGCAGGCGGAAUUCCUAGUGUAGCGGUAAAAUGCGUAGAUAUUAGGAGGAACACCAGUGGCGAAGGCGGCCUGCUGGGCUUUAACUGACGCUGAGGCUCGAAAGUGUGGGGAGCAAACAGGAUUAGAUACCCUGGUAGUCCACACCGUAAACGAUGAUUAAUAGGUGUGGGGG
This 629-nucleotide ribosomal RNA is filed under the name uncultured bacterium. RNAcentral describes it as "bacterial SSU rRNA". It matches the Rfam family "Bacterial small subunit ribosomal RNA", at positions 183 to 828 of the family's 1533-position model. The record is from RNAcentral.